This is a long non-coding RNA of Thalassophryne amazonica, 1123 nucleotides long. RefSeq lists it as uncharacterized. The transcript is spliced from 3 exons. NCBI's taxonomy places the organism in Eukaryota, Metazoa, Chordata, Actinopteri, Batrachoidiformes, Batrachoididae. The record is from RefSeq and is a predicted model, not a curated record.
AUUCAUAUUCUCUGAAAAAUGGCCAAAAAAGCAAAAAUUCUGCCAGGGUAUGUAAACUUUUGAGCACAACUGUAAGUGUGAUGCUUGCUACCUGACCUGAGUACCAUGUGAACUGCAAAAAUGAGGGCUCCAGUGAGGCUCACUGUGUUUGUUCACACAUGUACGCUUUCAACCUAAGGGCCUCAGUGACCUCUCCCUUGGUGCCCCCAGUCACCAUAGCAAGUUUGGUAUUGAUUGCCUAAUUACUGUGGCUGUGCAUAGUGAACACAAAUCGUGUCACAUACAUACAGAGAUUGCCUUUUAUAUUUAUAGAUAAAUUUGCAAAAAUUUCAAAAAUUUUUUUCAUGUUGUCAUUAUGGGGUUCUGUGAGUAGCGUUUUAGACAAAAUUAAUUGACUGCAAUUUGGAAUAAGGCUGUAACUUAGCAAAAUGUGGAAAAAGUGAAGCGCUGUGAAUACUUUCUGGAUGAACCAUAAAUAAAGGCUGAUUAAAAGCUGCUGCAUUAAGAAUUAGUUACUGCAGUGCACAGCUUCGCUCAUUUGACUUAAGACAUUGUCCUCAGAAGAUUUACAUUCUUUAAAAUAAAAACUGUGUAUUAAAAAUUAUAACCAGAGUGUGAGUAUUUUAGCUUCACAGAUUUCUUUAGAAUGCAGGAAAAAGGCUUCAGGUUUUUUAAUUUUCCAGGGGAAGCCAAGUCACAACCCCUGCCCCUUCACUUAAAACGAGAUCUGACACUUGAGUUUCACAAGCUGAAAGUGCUGCAUGAUCGUUCACAGCUCACAUGUGCUGUUAUGCACAGAACGUGCCCACGCCCAUGCACUUCUCAUGUUAAAAAAAAAAAAAAAUCUGAUCACAAUUAUUCUGACAAUACUGAAGCAAAGUGGCUUCAGUAUUGUCGGCUUAUGUGCACAUUAAGCAUUUUAUGCCCAGAAAAUGAUCCUAAUCCUCACACUGAGGUGUGUGUUUUUCUGCUGUGCAUUCGGCCUACCUGUGUAUGUGUUUUUCACUGAGGAAGGCAGCGUGAAGUACUUCACACCCAAAAGUAAUUAAAUGAACAUUGGUGUUGGGUGUCAGCCCUUUAACACUGUCAACUUAUUGCUGACAAAGCUGAAAAUGUGUUCAGC